AACAAGGUAGUUUAAUUUAAAACUUCUAUUUUACACGUAGGAAAUGACUGUGUGUCUAUUGUUA
RNAcentral lists this transfer RNA (64 nucleotides) under Paramphistomum leydeni. RNAcentral describes it as "tRNA-Val". Lineage: Eukaryota; Metazoa; Platyhelminthes; Trematoda; Plagiorchiida; Paramphistomidae. The record is from RNAcentral.